CGCGGGGUAGAGCAGCUUGGUAGCUUACAAGGCUCAUAACCUUGAGGUCACGGGUUCAAAUCCCGUCCCCGCAA
RNAcentral lists this transfer RNA (74 nucleotides) under Pouzolzia hirta. RNAcentral's name for it is "Gonostegia hirta tRNA-fMet". It matches the Rfam family "tRNA". Rfam says of the family: Transfer RNA (tRNA) molecules are approximately 80 nucleotides in length. The record is from RNAcentral. RNAcentral also lists the same sequence under 5 other names. Lineage: Eukaryota; Viridiplantae; Streptophyta; Magnoliopsida; Rosales; Urticaceae.